RNAcentral lists this unclassified non-coding RNA (17 nucleotides) under Canis lupus familiaris (dog). RNAcentral describes it as "RNA (5'-R(P*AP*GP*CP*CP*GP*CP*AP*CP*GP*GP*AP*GP*GP*CP*GP*AP*A)-3') from Canis lupus familiaris (PDB 3DKN, chain E)". The record is from RNAcentral. Lineage: Eukaryota; Metazoa; Chordata; Mammalia; Carnivora; Canidae.
AGCCGCACGGAGGCGAA